This 515-nucleotide ribosomal RNA is filed under the name uncultured bacterium. RNAcentral describes it as "partial 16S ribosomal RNA". It matches the Rfam family "Bacterial small subunit ribosomal RNA", at positions 28 to 523 of the family's 1533-position model. The record is from RNAcentral.
GACGAACGCUGGCGGCGUGCCUAAUACAUGCAAGUCGAGCGGACUUUCAAGAAGCUUGCUUUUUGAAAGUUAGCGGCGGACGGGUGAGUAACACGUGGGCAACCUGCCUGUAAGACGGGGAUAACUCCGGGAAACCGGGGCUAAUACCGGAUAAUAUCUUUCUUCGCAUGAAGGAAGGUUGAAAGGCGGCGCAAGCUGCCGCUUGCAGAUGGUCCCGCGGCGCAUUAGCUAGUUGGUGAGGUAACGGCUAACCAAGGCGACGAUGCGUAGCCGACCUGAGAGGGUGAUCGGCCACACUGGGACUGAGACACGGCCCAGACUCCUACGGGAGGCAGCAGUAGGGAAUCUUCCGCAAUGGACGAAAGUCUGACGGAGCAACGCCGCGUGAGCGAAGAAGGUCUUCGGAUCGUAAAGCUCUGUUGUCAGGGAAGAACAAGUACCGUUCGAAUAGGGCGGUACCUUGACGGUACCUGACCAGAAAGCCACGGCUAACUACGUGCCAGCCGCCGCGGUAA